AACGAACGCUGGCGGCGCGCCUAAUACAUGCAAGUCGAGCGAGAAGACGUAGCAAUACGUUUGUAAAGCGGCGAACGGGUGAGGAAUACAUGGGUAACCUACCCUCGAGUGGGGAAUAACUAGCCGAAAGGUUAGCUAAUACCGCGUACGCUCCUUGGACUUCGGUUCAGGGAGGAAAGCGAUACCGUGGGUAUCGCGCUCUUGGAUGGGCUCAUGUCCUAUCAGCUUGUUGGUGAGGUAACGGCUCACCAAGGCUUCGACGGGUAGCUGGUCUGAGAGGACGAUCAGCCACACUGGCACUGCGACACGGGCCAGACUCCUACGGGAGGCAGCAGUAAGGAAUAUUGCGCAAUGGGCGAAAGCCUGACGCAGCGACGCCGCGUGGGGGAUGAAGGUCUUCGGAUUGUAAACCCCUUUCGGGAGGGAAGAUGGAAUGGGGUAACCCAUUCGGACGGUACCUCCAGAAGCAGCCACGGCUAACUUCGUGCCAGCA
RNAcentral lists this ribosomal RNA (493 nucleotides) under uncultured bacterium. Its description in RNAcentral is "bacterial SSU rRNA". It matches the Rfam family "Bacterial small subunit ribosomal RNA", at positions 29 to 513 of the family's 1533-position model. The record is from RNAcentral.